GACGAACGCUGGCGGCGUGCUUAACACAUGCAAGUCGAGCGGGGGAAGGUAGCUUGCUACCGGACCUAGCGGCGGACGGGUGAGUAAUGCUUAGGAAUCUGCCUAUUAGUGGGGGACAACAUCUCGAAAGGGAUGCUAAUACCGCAUACGUCCUACGGGAGAAAGCAGGGGAUCUUCGGACCUUGCGCUAAUAGAUGAGCCUAAGUCGGAUUAGCUAGUUGGUGGGGUAAAGGCCUACCAAGGCGACGAUCUGUAGCGGGUCUGAGAGGAUGAUCCGCCACACUGGGACUGAGACACGGCCCAGACUCCUACGGGAGGCAGCAGUGGGGAAUAUUGGACAAUGGGGGGAACCCUGAUCCAGCCAUGCCGCGUGUGUGAAGAAGGCCUUAUGGUUGUAAAGCACUUUAAGCGAGGAGGAGGCUACUUUAGUUAAUACCUAGAGAUAGUGGACGUUACUCGCAGAAUAAGCACCGGCUAACUCUGUGCCAGCAGCCGCGGUAA
RNAcentral lists this ribosomal RNA (501 nucleotides) under uncultured bacterium. RNAcentral describes it as "partial 16S ribosomal RNA". It matches the Rfam family "Bacterial small subunit ribosomal RNA", at positions 28 to 523 of the family's 1533-position model. The record is from RNAcentral.